This 301-nucleotide ribosomal RNA is filed under the name uncultured bacterium. Its description in RNAcentral is "partial 16S ribosomal RNA". It matches the Rfam family "Bacterial small subunit ribosomal RNA", at positions 509 to 807 of the family's 1533-position model. The record is from RNAcentral.
CAGCCGCCACGGUAAUACGUAGGGUGCGAGCGUUAAUCGGAAUUACUGGGCGUAAAGCGUGCGUAGGCGGUUUGUUAAGUCUGUUGUGAAAUCCCCGGGCUCAACCUGGGAAUGGCAAUGGAUACUGGCAAGCUAGAGUGUGUCAGAGGAUGGUGGAAUUCCCGGUGUAGCGGUAAAAUGCGUAGAGAUCGGGAGGAACAUCAGUGGCGAAGGCGGCCAUCUGGGACAACACUGACGCUGAGGCACGAAAGCGUGGGGAGCAAACAGGAUUAGAUACCCCGGUAGUCCCUGUCUCUUAUAC